CGUUCAGCAAGAUCAGUAAUAGAUUAUCGUUAAACGUUUCGUUAUCUUAUCGUUUCACUUUUAUCUUUAGGUUUGCAAAGGGCACUAGAUGUUGACUUCUGACACAAUGGAUAGACACAUGAACACCGUUCAGCAAGAUGAGUAAAUUUAUAAAAACAGAGGUAUGUAUAGAUUAUCGUUAAAAUGCUAGCUAUGCUUUUUACUUCUAUCUUUAGGUGUGCAAAGGAUACCAGAUGUUAUCUUCUGACACAAUGGCUUCUGUCGCAAAGAAGAGGCACGAGAACAUCGUUCAGCAAGAUCAGCAUAUUUUCACAGAAUAGUGGUAUGUACAGAUUAUCGUUAAAAUGCUAGCUAUGCCUUUUACUUCUAUCUUUAGGUGUGCAAAGGAUAUCAGAUGUUGACUUCUGAAGAAGUGGAUAAGCACGAGAACAUCGUUCAGCAAGACCAGCAUAAAUGCACAAAAUAGAGGUAUGUACAGAUUAUCUCUAAAAUGCUAAAUUUGUUUUUUACUUCUAUCUUUAGGUGUGCAAAGGGCACCAAAUGUUGGCUUCUGACAGAGUCGAUAUACUAGUACAUGAGAACUUCGUUCAGGAAGAUUUUUUUCUGAUGAUUAGCUACAGAUUAUGGAAUUAAGGCUUGACUCCAUUAAAUGAAACACAGAAAGCAGGCGUCAUCGAGACUUAUUCUCCGUCGACAUCAUCCAGAACAGGGUACUUUCAAGAGACCUUAAUGACUUUUAAAUAAAAUUACAGAUUAUGGCAAUGAGGCUUGGUUUCACUGAAUGAAACAUAGAAAGCAGAUGUGUUCGACUUAGCAGACACAAAUUGGCGCCAUUUCCAGACACUUGGAACUCUUCUUAAUAAAGAAUGUUGAAGGAAGUACUUAGGUAACCCUCGACAAUAGAAGGAAGGAAAGAACAUGGCGGCGGCAGUCCAGAAACAAACAUGAUUGAACAGGUAAUACCUCACAUACAGUCAC
Molecule: long non-coding RNA, 978 nt
Organism: Mercenaria mercenaria
Lineage: Eukaryota; Metazoa; Mollusca; Bivalvia; Venerida; Veneridae
Exons: 3
Source: RefSeq, a predicted model, not a curated record